AUUGAACGCUGGCGGCAUGCCUUACACAUGCAAGUCGAACGGCAGCAUGGGUGCUUGCACCUGGUGGCGAGUGGCGAACGGGUGAGUAAUACAUCGGAACAUGUCCUGUAGUGGGGGAUAGCCCGGCGAAAGCCGGAUUAAUACCGCAUACGAUCUACGGAUGAAAGCGGGGGACCUUCGGGCCUCGCGCUAUAGGGUUGGCCGAUGGCUGAUUAGCUAGUUGGUGGGGUAAAGGCCUACCAAGGCGACGAUCAGUAGCUGGUCUGAGAGGACGACCAGCCACACGGGGACUGAGACACGGCCCAGACGCCUACGGGAGGCAGCAGUGGGGAAUUUUGGACAAUGGGCGAAAGCCUGAUCCAGCAAUGCCGCGUGUGUGAAGAAGGCCUUCGGGUUGUAAAGCACUUUUGUCCGGAAAGAAAUCCUUGGCCCUAAUACGGUCGGGGGAUGACGGUACCGGAAGAAUAAGCACCGGCUAACUACGUG
RNAcentral lists this ribosomal RNA (486 nucleotides) under uncultured bacterium. Its description in RNAcentral is "partial 16S ribosomal RNA". It matches the Rfam family "Bacterial small subunit ribosomal RNA", at positions 30 to 507 of the family's 1533-position model. The record is from RNAcentral.